Molecule: ribosomal RNA, 119 nt
Filed under: Pediculus humanus corporis (human body louse)
Lineage: Eukaryota; Metazoa; Arthropoda; Insecta; Psocodea; Pediculidae
Source: RNAcentral
GUCAACGGCCAUACCAUGUUGAACACACCGGUUCUCGUCCGAUCACCGAAGUUAAGCAACAUCGGGCGUGGUUAGUACUUGGAUGGGUGACCGCUUGGGAACACCACGUGCCGUUGGCU